This 467-nucleotide ribosomal RNA is filed under the name uncultured bacterium. RNAcentral describes it as "partial 16S ribosomal RNA". It matches the Rfam family "Bacterial small subunit ribosomal RNA", at positions 28 to 507 of the family's 1533-position model. The record is from RNAcentral.
GACGAACGCUGGCGGCGUGCUUAACACAUGCAAGUCGAACGGAAAGGCCCUGCUUUUGUGGGGUGCUCGAGUGGCGAACGGGUGAGUAACACGUGAGUAACCUGCCCUUGACUUUGGGAUAACUUCAGGAAACUGGGGCUAAUACCGGAUAGGAGCUCCUGCUGCAUGGUGGGGGUUGGAAAGUUUCGGCGGUUGGGGAUGGACUCGCGGCUUAUCAGCUUGUUGGUGGGGUAGUGGCUUACCAAGGCUUUGACGGGUAGCCGGCCUGAGAGGGUGACCGGCCACAUUGGGACUGAGAUACGGCCCAGACUCCUACGGGAGGCAGCAGUGGGGAAUAUUGCACAAUGGGCGGAAGCCUGAUGCAGCAACGCCGCGUGCGGGAUGACGGCCUUCGGGUGUAAACCGCUUUCGCCUGUGACGAAGCGUGAGUGACGGUAAUGCGUAAAGAAGCACCGGCUAACUACGUG